Molecule: small nuclear RNA, 151 nt
Organism: Cyprinus carpio carpio
Lineage: Eukaryota; Metazoa; Chordata; Actinopteri; Cypriniformes; Cyprinidae
Gene: U1
Rfam family: U1 spliceosomal RNA
About the family: U1 is a small nuclear RNA (snRNA) component of the spliceosome (involved in pre-mRNA splicing). Its 5' end forms complementary base pairs with the 5' splice junction, thus defining the 5' donor site of an intron.
Source: Ensembl
AUACUUACCUGGCAGGGGAGACACCAUGAUCAAGGUGGUUUACCCAGGGCGAGUCUUGGCCAUUGCACUCCGGCCGUGCUGACCCCUGCAAAUUCCUAAAAAAUAUUUUGAAAGAUGUCUCUUACGCUGAACAAGGCUGCAUUUAUUUGGC